Ribosomal RNA from Microcebus murinus (gray mouse lemur), 138 nucleotides. The record is from Ensembl. NCBI's taxonomy places the organism in Eukaryota, Metazoa, Chordata, Mammalia, Primates, Cheirogaleidae.
GUCUACGGCCAUACCACCCUGAAUGCACCCAAUCUCGUCUGAUCUUGGAGGCUAAGCAGGGUUGGGCCCAGUUAGUACUUGGAUGGGAGAAAUGAUUUAAAGGUUCUGUAAUUGGGUAACUUGCAGGAUGAUGUGAUC